RNAcentral lists this unclassified non-coding RNA (277 nucleotides) under uncultured fungus. RNAcentral describes it as "sequence contains ITS1". The stretch from base 1 to 105 matches the Rfam family "5.8S ribosomal RNA", at positions 50 to 154 of the family's 154-position model. The record is from RNAcentral. Lineage: Eukaryota; Fungi.
GAAAUGCGAUACGUAAUGCGAAUUGCAGAAUUCAGUGAAUCAUCAAAUCUUUGAACGCAAAUUGCGCUCUUGGGUAGCCCUAGGAGCACACCUCUCUCAGUAUCGGUUCAAACAACUCUCAGCAGCGUGUUGGAAUUUAUUUCAAUGCGUGUUGGCUGGAUAAUGAGAGUCUGAGUGCUUGCAUUCAGUCUCUUUAAGUACAUGGAGUAAAUAAAUACUAGUGAUCAGCUCUGCUUCGGCAGAUAGUCAAUUCUUGGCUGUUGUUCAGUAGUGACGU